AGUGAACGCUGGCGGUAGGCCUAACACAUGCAAGUCGAACGGCAGCACAGUAAGAGCUUGCUCUUACGGGUGGCGAGUGGCGGACGGGUGAGGAAUACAUCGGAAUCUACUUUUUCGUGGGGGAUAACGUAGGGAAACUUACGCUAAUACCGCAUACGACCUACGGGUGAAAGCAGGGGAUCUUCGGACCUUGCGCGAUUGAAUGAGCCGAUGUCGGAUUAGCUAGUUGGCAGGGUAAAGGCCCACCAAGGCGACGAUCCGUAGCUGGUCUGAGAGGAUGAUCAGCCAAACUGGAACUGAGACACGGUCCAGACUCCUACGGGAGGCAGCAGUGGGGAAUAUUGGACAAUGGGCGCAAGCCUGAUCCAGCCAUACCGCGUGGGUGAAGAAGGCCUUCGGGUUGUAAAGCCCUUUUGUUGGGAAAGAAAAGCAGCAGGUUAAUACCCCGCUGUUCUGACGGUACCCAAAGAAUAAGCACCGGCUAACUUCGUG
This 492-nucleotide ribosomal RNA is filed under the name uncultured bacterium. Its description in RNAcentral is "partial 16S ribosomal RNA". It matches the Rfam family "Bacterial small subunit ribosomal RNA", at positions 29 to 507 of the family's 1533-position model. The record is from RNAcentral.